GCAGGAGCUGUAUGUGGAUACAGAAUCUUAUGUGGCACUUCAAGAGGCCUUUUUCUCCCACAGACAGCAUGAGGGAGAGACUCUGUUAGGGUUUUCAUUGGCAUUAAUGAGUCUGAUGACAUCUGUUAAGCAGCGUGCACCUAAUGGUGUCCCAAAUGCAGAGGUUUUGUUACGUGAUCAGUUUGUUGAGUGUGUGUUUGAUGGGUCACUUCGGCGUGAGUUGAAGCAGUUUGUGCGCCGGCAGCCUACCGCUACCUUGUUGGAGGUUAGGGGUGAGACAAUUAGAUGGGAACGAGAGGGUUUACCUGGAGGGAAGAGUGAUUGUGUUU
Thalassophryne amazonica is the source of this 329-nucleotide long non-coding RNA. RefSeq lists it as uncharacterized. The transcript is spliced from 3 exons. Lineage: Eukaryota; Metazoa; Chordata; Actinopteri; Batrachoidiformes; Batrachoididae. The record is from RefSeq and is a predicted model, not a curated record.